Scylla paramamosain (green mud crab) is the source of this 845-nucleotide long non-coding RNA. RefSeq lists it as uncharacterized. The transcript has 3 exons. The record is from RefSeq and is a predicted model, not a curated record. NCBI's taxonomy places the organism in Eukaryota, Metazoa, Arthropoda, Malacostraca, Decapoda, Portunidae.
CAGAUUCGUAACUUUCCUGGUAACUUCUGGAGAACAUGAGGAAAUUUAUUCUGCUGUCGGCGGUGGUGGUGAUGGUGGCAGCGAUGCCCGGUGUAAAGGCUUCACCAGAUCCAAACUACGCCCCAUACUGCAAUGUUGUGAAAAAGCAGACGCGCGUGUGUUGCUCUGACAACAACAUCUACAACAACUUGUGCGCACUGAACCACCAGAAAUGCAACGAUGCAACACUCACUCAACUUGGCGAAGCGGCCUGCAAGAAACUGCUGAGAGAGAAAAGAUGAAGGCAGACCUGUGUGCAAACCAAACCGUCUAUCUUGUGUGGCGCUGACGGCAUGCUGUACAGCGACUGCGAGCUGGAAGCCGAGCGCUGCAACAAGCCUGACUUCCAGGCUGACGACAACAUGAAGGCAUGCCCAGGUCAUCAUCCAGCCUGGAGCAUACUGGGAUGGUCAUAAAUGGAAAAGUUCUGGAAACAAACGAUGGGCCAGUAAUAAAACUAGAAAAUUAGGAACAUGAACACCAAGAUGAACUGCAAACUACUGAACAACUAGCUGGGUAAGUGCUACUACUACUACUACUACUACUACUACUGUGUGUGUGUGUGUGUGUGUGUGUGUGUGUGUGUGUGUGUGUGUGUGUGUGUGUUAGGGUGGAAUACAUAACAUGCAAGCAACAGUACCUCAUAUCCCCACCACACCACCACGCAACACCUGCCUGACACACUCACUCACACUUUUCCUUCUCGCCUACCCAGGUUUGCGAGGCCAACCAGUGCCACAGGAUCUACAGCAGUACCACAACUCUCGCCACGACGGCAGUUAACUUCUUAACUCUUCUUUGUUCCU